UUGGGAAUAUUGGACAAUGGAGGAAACUCUGAUCCAGUGACGCCGCGUGAAGGAAGAAGGUCUUCGGAUUGUAAACUUAUUUUGUCAGGGAAGAAGAAAUGACAGUACCUGAAGAAAAAGGACCGGCAAACUACGUGCCAGCAGCCGCGGUAAUACGUAGGGUCCAAGCGUUAUCCGGAUUUACUGGGUGUAAAGGGCGAGUAGACGGUGUUACAAGUCAGAUGUGAAAACUUGGGGCUCAACUCCAAGACUGCAUCUGAAACUGUGAUACUAGAGUGCAGGAGAGGAAAGUGGAAUUCCUAGUGUAGCGGUGAAAUGCGUAGAUAUUAGGAGGAACACCAGUGGCGAAGGCGACUUUCUGGACUGUAACUGACGUUGAGGCGCGAAAGUGUGGGGAGCAAACAG
This 405-nucleotide ribosomal RNA is filed under the name uncultured bacterium. RNAcentral's name for it is "bacterial SSU rRNA". It matches the Rfam family "Bacterial small subunit ribosomal RNA", at positions 355 to 775 of the family's 1533-position model. The record is from RNAcentral.